Molecule: ribosomal RNA, 808 nt
Filed under: Clostridioides difficile
Lineage: Bacteria; Bacillati; Bacillota; Clostridia; Peptostreptococcales; Peptostreptococcaceae
Description: bacterial SSU rRNA
Rfam family: Bacterial small subunit ribosomal RNA
Source: RNAcentral
UUAUUUGAGAGUUUGAUCCUGGCUCAGGAUGAACGCUGGCGGCGUGCCUAACACAUGCAAGUUGAGCGAUUUACUUCGGUAAAGAGCGGCGGACGGGUGAGUAACGCGUGGGUAACCUACCCUGUACACACGGAUAACAUACCGAAAGGUAUGCUAAUACGGGAUAAUAUAUUUGAGAGGCAUCUCUUAAAUAUCAAAGGUGAGCCAGUACAGGAUGGACCCGCGUCUGAUUAGCUAGUUGGUAAGGUAACGGCUUACCAAGGCGACGAUCAGUAGCCGACCUGAGAGGGUGAUCGGCCACAUUGGAACUGAGACACGGUCCAAACUCCUACGGGAGGCAGCAGUGGGGAAUAUUGCACAAUGGGCGAAAGCCUGAUGCAGCAACGCCGCGUGAGUGAUGAAGGCCUUCGGGUCGUAAAACUCUGUCCUCAAGGAAGAUAAUGACGGUACUUGAGGAGGAAGCCCCGGCUAACUACGUGCCAGCAGCCGCGGUAAUACGUAGGGGGCUAGCGUUAUCCGGAUUUACUGGGCGUAAAGGGUGCGUAGGCGGUCUUUCAAGUCAGGAGUGAAAGGCUACGGCUCAACCGUAGUAAGCUCUUGAAACUGGGAGACUUGAGUGCAGGAGAGGAGAGUGGAAUUCCUAGUGUAGCGGUGAAAUGCGUAGAUAUUAGGAGGAACACCAGUUGCGAAGGCGGCUCUCUGGACUGUAACUGACGCUGAGGCACGAAAGCGUGGGGAGCAAACAGGAUUAGAUACCCUGGUAGUCCACGCUGUAAACGAUGAGUACUAGGUGUCGGGGGUUACCCCC